GGUGGCUCAGCCGUAGAGCACCUGCCUUGCAUGCAUGAGGUCCUGGGUUUGACCCCUGGCACCA
RNAcentral lists this transfer RNA (64 nucleotides) under Erinaceus europaeus (western European hedgehog). It matches the Rfam family "tRNA". From Rfam's summary of the family: Transfer RNA (tRNA) molecules are approximately 80 nucleotides in length. Lineage: Eukaryota; Metazoa; Chordata; Mammalia; Eulipotyphla; Erinaceidae. The record is from Rfam by way of RNAcentral.